UGGGGAAUAUUGGACAAUGGGCGCAAGCCUGAUCCAGCCAUGCCGCGUGAGUGAUGACGGCCUUAGGGUUGUAAAGCUCUUUUAACAGGGACGAUAAUGACGGUACCUGUAGAAUAAGCCCCGGCUAACUUCGUGCCAGCAGCCGCGGUAAUACGAAGGGGGCUAGCGUUGUUCGGAAUCACUGGGCGUAAAGCGCACGUAGGCGGAUUGUUAAGUCGGGGGUGAAAUCCUGAGGCUCAACCUCAGAACUGCCUUCGAUACUGGCGAUCUUGAGUUCGGAAGAGGUUGGUGGAACAGCUAGUGUAGAGGUGAAAUUCGUAGAUAUUAGCUAGAACACCAGUGGCGAAGGCGGCCAACUGGUCCGAUACUGACGCUGAGGUGCGAAAGCGUGGGGAGCAAACAGGAUUAGAUACCCCCGUAGUCC
RNAcentral lists this ribosomal RNA (424 nucleotides) under uncultured bacterium. RNAcentral describes it as "bacterial SSU rRNA". It matches the Rfam family "Bacterial small subunit ribosomal RNA", at positions 355 to 796 of the family's 1533-position model. The record is from RNAcentral.